UACGGAGGGUGCAAACGUUGUUCGGAAUCACUGGGCGUAAAGCGCGUGUAGGCGGCUAUCUAAGUCUGAUGUGAAAGCCCUGGGCUCAACUCAGGAAGUGCAUUGGAUACUGGAUAGCUGGAGUACCGGAGAGGAGGGUGGAAUUCCUGGUGUAGCGGUGAAAUGCGUAGAUAUCAGGAGGAACACCGGUGGCGAAGGCGUCCCUCUGGCCGGAUACUGACGCUGAGACGCGAAAGCGUGGGGAGCAAACAGG
Molecule: ribosomal RNA, 253 nt
Filed under: uncultured bacterium
Lineage: Bacteria
Description: partial 16S ribosomal RNA
Rfam family: Bacterial small subunit ribosomal RNA
Source: RNAcentral